UGACCAGCGGAGGGAUCAUUACCGAGUCUAAACAACUCAUCAACCCUGUGAACAUACCUAAAACGUUGCUUCGGCGGGAACAGACGGCCCCGUAAAACGGGCCGCCCCCGCCAGAGGACCCCUAACUCUGUUGCUAUAUGUAUCUUCUGAGUAAACAAGCAAAUAAAUUAAAACUUUCAACAACGGAUCUCUUGGCUCUGGCAUCGAUGAAGAACGCAGCGAAAUGCGAUAAGUAAUGUGAAUUGCAGAAUUCAGUGAAUCAUCGAAUCUUUGAACGCACAUUGCGCCCGCCAGUAUUCUGGCGGGCAUGCCUGUUCGAGCGUCAUUACAACCCUCAGGCCCCCGGGCCUGGGGUUGGGGAUCGGCGAGGCGCCCCCUGUGGGCACGCGCCGUCCCCCAAAUACAGUGGCGGUCCCGCCGCAGCUUCCAUUGCGUAGUAGCUAACACCUCGCAACUGGAGAGCGGCGCGGCCAUGCCGUAAAACACCCAACUUCUGAAUGUUGACCUCGAAUCAGGUAGGAAUACCCGCUGAACUUAAGCAUAUCAAUAAGGCGGAGGA
This is a ribosomal RNA of 559 nucleotides. The stretch from base 172 to 325 matches the Rfam family "5.8S ribosomal RNA".